This 465-nucleotide ribosomal RNA is filed under the name uncultured Klebsiella sp. RNAcentral describes it as "bacterial SSU rRNA". It matches the Rfam family "Bacterial small subunit ribosomal RNA", at positions 338 to 795 of the family's 1533-position model. The record is from RNAcentral. Lineage: Bacteria; Pseudomonadati; Pseudomonadota; Gammaproteobacteria; Enterobacterales; Enterobacteriaceae.
CCUACGGGUGGCAGCAGUGGGGAAUAUUGCACAAUGGGCGCAAGCCUGAUGCAGCCAUGCCGCGUGUGUGAAGAAGGCCUUCGGGUUGUAAAGCACUUUCAGCGGGGAGGAAGGCGUUAAGGUUAAUAACCUUGUCGAUUGACGUUACCCGCAGAAGAAGCACCGGCUAACUCCGUGCCAGCAGCCGCGGUAAGACGGAGGGUGCAAGCGUUAAUCGGAAUUACUGGGCGUAAAGCGCAAGCAGGCGGUCUGUCAAGUCGGAUGUGAAAUCCCCGGGCUCAACCUGGGAACUGCAUUCGAAACUGGCAGGCUAGAGUCUUGUAGAGGGGGGUAGAAUUCCAGGUGUAGCGGUGAAAUGCGUAGAGAUCUGGAGGAAUACCGGUGGCGAAGGCGGCCCCCUGGACAAAGACUGACGCUCAGGUGCGAAAGCGUGGGGAGCAAACAGGAUUAGAUACCCGGGUAGUC